GUUGCUUCCGGACCGAAGGCGGCGUCGAAUUGGUACACCUUGCCGUUUCCGGGGCCUGCGGCUGCUGGACACUCGAGGGUGCAGCAUUUUGACGCAGAAUCGAUCGUUACCACGUUCUGCGCAGGUGAAAAAAAUACGAUAGCUCUUUAAUAGCUCUCAAAGUUGCUGUUUCCAGUAUACCGCAAAGUAUACCGUUUGCAGUAUAUAACGAGAGAACGCGAAGACGCAGAGGGAGUAGAAAAAGAAAAAGGAUAGAAACGCGAAAAGUAACGAGGAUCGGAGGAAGAACGGAAAAGAAAUAAGAGGCUAGAACCAAGAAAGAAGAGCGCAAUGGUGUGUAAUAUCACAUCGUAUCAUGUGUAAUAAUGUAAGAUCGAAGUACAGAUAUAGCGCGAUAUACUGCAGCGUGAAUUAAGGUCGCUGUACAUUUACGAAACACCGUGACUUGGAAAAAUAUGUUUUCUUAAGUUCGUAGUGUGCAUGCAUGUAGGUUUCCGUUGUGCAAAUAUUUUUCUGUUUAGUCCAUUCUUAAAAGCGAACUACGCGUAUAAAGGAGGAUAAAUAUUCGCAAAUGUUCCUGCCUUUAUUAAUAACAGGGUUUUUGUAAAUUUCA
Long non-coding RNA from Bombus impatiens (common eastern bumble bee), 613 nucleotides. RefSeq lists it as uncharacterized. NCBI's taxonomy places the organism in Eukaryota, Metazoa, Arthropoda, Insecta, Hymenoptera, Apidae. The transcript is spliced from 2 exons. The record is from RefSeq and is a predicted model, not a curated record.